CAGCCGCCGCGGUAAUACGAAGGGUGCAAGCGUUAAUCGGAAUUACUGGGCGUAAAGCGUGCAUAGGCGGUUUGUUAAGUCUAUUGUGAAAUCCCCGGGCUCAACCUGGGAAUGGCAAUGGAUACUGGCAAGCUAGAGUGUGUCAGAGGAUGGUGGAAUUCCCGGUGUAGCGGUGAAAUGCGUAGAGAUCGGGAGGAACAUCAGUGGCGAAGGCGGCCAUCUGGGACAACACUGACGCUGAGGCACGAAAGCGUGGGGAGCAAACAGGAUUAGAUACCCCUGUAGUCCCUGUCUCUUAUAC
Molecule: ribosomal RNA, 301 nt
Filed under: uncultured bacterium
Lineage: Bacteria
Description: partial 16S ribosomal RNA
Rfam family: Bacterial small subunit ribosomal RNA
Source: RNAcentral